UUCAGUGUGCUAUUGCCGGGCUCCAUGCACAUUGUGGCAAAGUCAAACUCAUAGGGAUCUGCUUAGAGCAUCUAGACAGUGGGAAUUGUGCCAGUGAUUAGAUGCUGGAGUUCAGCUUUUUGAAGCCAGCCUCGGAAAAAGCGAGUGAAUAUUUGGGAGGUAAGCUGGCAACAGAAAAGGCUAAGGAGAUAGGACUAUAUCUGUAUUAAGUCAAUGCAACAUAGCCUAGCCAAACCGUUCAAUGCAAUCUCAAACCAGGAAGAUCAACUUAAAAAAGAUCAGGUCUGGGAGCUCAAGAGCAGCACCCUUCACUUGAGCAGUGAAGCUGAAAUUGUGCUGAUAGUUAGAUAGCUACGAUCAGUCCCCAGAAACCCUGCGUACGUAUUUCUGAAAGAAAAAGUUGAACUACCAGAACGUGGGCCACCACUACUACCACUGCCUGUGACAGAGAGGCUUUGAUGGAGUUAUGAGUCUAAAUUUCAAAUGUGAGAAUCCGAACCUUGAAUCACAGAAUCCUAAUGAAAGUAUACAAGAAAAAGAAAACCUAUUUCAGAAUGAAGGGACAGAGUGUUUUUAGGCCAUCAUCCACAAGUCAAGAUUCCUGAAAGGAGACCACGCAUAUUAUGCUGCACUGUAAUGUCAAUUUGACCUAAAUUCUAUUUAUGGAGAAUGCUUUAAUGAAGAUAUUGGACAAUGUUUUAUAUCAUCAAAUAUUCUGGCAAAACUAACACUGCAUCUGCAUUUUCUGCUACAAAUCAAUUCACUCGUCAUUAAAAUUAGCAUCUAAUAACUUCUCUCAAAAUAUACCCAAAGUACUAUAAAUACAUAUUGCUCAGUUUGGUUUGCAAUUUUGACUGGCUGACAUUUAAACCUCAUACAAGAAAGAAACCGAGACAUUUUUCCCAGAUUAAAGUUUAAACAAGUAAUACCAUCAUUCUAAGAAUGAAGUGCUCAAUUAGAAAGUGUUUAAAAUACUUCCAAAACUCAAGAUCCCUUAAAGAAGUCAUCUGAUUGCAUUUCAUAUUUCUCCUACAGCUUUAUCAAGGGACGUUUGCGCAGGCAAGUAUAGUUGCAUUUCUAAGCUGAUAAUGCCACUAAUAUCUGCG
Molecule: non-coding RNA, 1106 nt
Organism: Chiloscyllium plagiosum (whitespotted bambooshark)
Lineage: Eukaryota; Metazoa; Chordata; Chondrichthyes; Orectolobiformes; Hemiscylliidae
Source: RefSeq, a predicted model, not a curated record